Long non-coding RNA from Amphimedon queenslandica, 532 nucleotides. RefSeq lists it as uncharacterized. The record is from RefSeq and is a predicted model, not a curated record. NCBI's taxonomy places the organism in Eukaryota, Metazoa, Porifera, Demospongiae, Haplosclerida, Niphatidae. The transcript is spliced from 3 exons.
GUCCUCUAGUGCUAAAAGUUCUAAUUAUGGACUGUUUUGAACACGGAUCAUCCCCAUACUUCAUUCAAAUCCAACCAUCGCUUUUCCUUGAGUUUACAGCAGGGCCUCCUCUUCCUCUUUGGCCUCUUCCUUGGCCACCUCCCUCUCUUCCUUGGCCACCUCCCCCGCUUCCUUGGCCACCUCCCCCGCUUCCUUGGCCAGCUGCCCCUCUUUUUUGUCCAUCUCCUCCUUCUUGGCCACCUCCUCUUCCUGCUCCUCUCCCGCCACCUGGUCAAUGCUUCCAUUUACCCCUAUGAUGUCUCCUUUUCUUCUAACAACAAAAAGAGAUUAAGGUUUUAUUCCAAUUUGAAGGAAAUGCCUCCUCAAGUUCUUGUAAGUACAAUUUCUGAUACUGUAUACGAACAAGAAGAGCUUCUUACAUAUCUAUUUUUAAAAGAUAAGAAAUAACUUAUUGUUAUAGAUAUUUUUUGUUCAAUACUUUCUUUCCCCUGUAUUCAUACUCAGUCCUAUUCCUCUGAACUGUUUCACAAGA